AGAGGAUUGAGCUCAAACUCUUAAUCAUGCUCAAUCAAGGAUAGGCGAGCAGUAGUUUGGUUUCCCCUUUUUGGCUUGGGUUCUUCGAGUUCAUCAACGUCUCCGGAUUGGAUCUUCUUAUCCUCCCAAUCCAUCGUAGCAAACAAAAAAAAGUUACCAGAAAAAGAAUGAGAGCCAGAAAGAUGCAACUCUUAAUUUUUGUUAUGGUACAUGUUUGUAAUGGUCUCGUGCAAAUAUAUAG
RNAcentral lists this unclassified non-coding RNA (241 nucleotides) under Hevea brasiliensis (rubber tree). The record is from RNAcentral. Lineage: Eukaryota; Viridiplantae; Streptophyta; Magnoliopsida; Malpighiales; Euphorbiaceae.